This 654-nucleotide ribosomal RNA is filed under the name uncultured archaeon. RNAcentral's name for it is "bacterial SSU rRNA". It matches the Rfam family "Archaeal small subunit ribosomal RNA", at positions 508 to 1160 of the family's 1478-position model. The record is from RNAcentral.
GCCUAAAGCGUCCGUAGCCUGUUUUGUAAGUUUUCGGUUAAAUCCAUACGCUCAACGUAUGGGCUGCCGGAAAUACUGCAAAACUAGGGAGUGGGAGAGGUAGACGGUACUCGGGAGGAAGGGGUAAAAUCCUUUGAUCUCUCGAUGACCACCUGUGGCGAAGGCGGUCUACCAGAACACGUCCGACGGUGAGGGAUGAAAGCUGGGGGAGCAAACCGGAUUAGAUACCCGGGUAGUCCCAGCUGUAAACUAUGCAAACUCAGUGAUGCAUUGGCUUGAUGCCAAUGCAGUGUUGCAGGGAAGCCGUUAAGUUUGCCGCCUGGGAAGUACGUACGCAAGUAUGAAACUUAAAGGAAUUGGCGGGGGAGCACCACAAGGGGUGAAGCCUGCGGUUCAAUUGGAGUCAACGCCAGAAAUCUUACCCGGAGAGACAGCAGAAUGAAGGUCAAGCUGAAGACUUUACCAGACAAGCUGAGAGGUGGUGCAUGGCCGUCGCCAGCUCGUGCCGUGAGAUGUCCUGUUAAGUCAGGUAACGAGCGAGAUCCCUGCCUCUAGUUGCCACCAUUACUCUCAGGAGUAGUGGGGCGAAUUAGCGGGACUGCCGCAGUUAAUGCGGAGGAAGGAGGGGGCCACGGCAGGUCAGUAUGCCCCGAA